Andrographis paniculata is the source of this 471-nucleotide long non-coding RNA. RefSeq lists it as uncharacterized. The transcript has 3 exons. Lineage: Eukaryota; Viridiplantae; Streptophyta; Magnoliopsida; Lamiales; Acanthaceae. The record is from RefSeq and is a predicted model, not a curated record.
AAAAUUGAUGUGUUGGUCUAUCUGGAAUAUUAAUCAUCGAAGCUGCAAGUAAAUAAUUAUAAGGGUUUUGUUCUAACCAUGAAGACAAUACUACUUCUGGCAUUAAUGUUUUCCUUAAGUUUCAUGGUUGCUGCCUAUGCUGAUCAGAAAUCACUUUCCAAGUAUCGACACAUUUUAGUCGAUUUUCAGAGGUCCUUUCCAUCAAAACAACCAUUUCCAGACAUAUCAUCUAACAAGCUUCUUCAUCAUCUCAACACUCAACGCCCAUUGACCGAUCCGAUUUUGUUCAAAAACAAAUCACCACAAGCUGGGGCAAAUGCAUCACCUUAACUAGACCUCGCUAUAUAUGUGAUUAAUUCUUAAUCGUAUUAUGUUUGUAUUUUGUUAGAAUCUAGAUUUUGAUACGAUGUUCUAUUAUUGCAUAUUCAAAUGAUGUAUGUGAGAAUAAUGGCUUCAUUAGUUGCGUUGUCG